AGCAGCCGCGGUAAUUCCAGCUCCAAUAGCGUAUAUUAAAGUUGUUGCAGUUAAAAAGCUCGUAGUUGAAUUUCGGGGUCAGUAGGUUGGUCAUGCCACUGGUAUGUACUGGUCUCACUGAUUCCUCCUUCCUGAUGAGCCGUAAUGCCAUUAAUUUGGUGUUGCGAGGAAUCUGGACUGUUACUUUGAAAAAAUUAGAGUGUUUAAAGCAGGCUAACGCUUGAAUACAUUAGCAUGGAAUAAUGAAAUAGGACGUUCGAUCUUAUUUUGUUGGUUUCUGAGAUUGACGUAAUGAUUAAUAGGGAUAGUUGGGGGCAUUAGUAUUCAAUUGUCAGAGGUGAAAUUCUUGGAUUUAUUGAAGACUAACUACUGCGAAAGCAUUUGCCAAGGAUGUUUUCAUUAAUCAAGAACGAAAGUUAGGGGAUCGAAGACGAUCAG
This 438-nucleotide ribosomal RNA is filed under the name uncultured Glomus. RNAcentral's name for it is "SSU rRNA". It matches the Rfam family "Eukaryotic small subunit ribosomal RNA", at positions 569 to 1011 of the family's 1831-position model. The record is from RNAcentral. Lineage: Eukaryota; Fungi; Glomeromycota; Glomeromycetes; Glomerales; Glomeraceae.